AACGAACGCUGGCGGCGUGCCUAACACAUGCAAGUCGAACGGACUCAUUUUGAAGUAGCAAUACGGAAAGAUGAGUUAGUGGCGGACGGGUGAGUAACACGUAAGAACCUACCUUUUGGAGAGGGACAACCACUGGAAACGGUGGCUAAUACCUCAUAUUGCUGAGAAGUGAAAUGAUGAAUAAUCGCCAAGAGAUGGGCUUGCGUCUGAUUAGCUAGUUGGUGGGGUAAUGGCUUACCAAGGCGAUGAUCAGUAGCUGGUCUGAGAGGAUGAUCAGCCACACUGGGACUGAGACACGGCCCAGACUCCUACGGGAGGCAG
RNAcentral lists this ribosomal RNA (321 nucleotides) under uncultured cyanobacterium. RNAcentral's name for it is "bacterial SSU rRNA". It matches the Rfam family "Bacterial small subunit ribosomal RNA", at positions 29 to 351 of the family's 1533-position model. The record is from RNAcentral. Lineage: Bacteria; Bacillati; Cyanobacteriota.